CUAAUAAGUGUUUCAUGGCACUUUUAAAUCCAUAUCCACCUUGUGUGCAAUGUAGGAGGGGUUUCGAUCUUUGUCUGUUUCCCUCUUGCGGAUAGACAUAACAUCAAUCUUCUCUUUUUUAACUCUUUGUCUGAAAUAUAUGAAUAAACAAUCAAAUA
This 158-nucleotide unclassified non-coding RNA is filed under the name soil metagenome. RNAcentral's name for it is "partial internal transcribed spacer 1". The record is from RNAcentral.